GGUGGUAUAGCUCAGUGGUAGAGUGCAUGCUUAGCAUGCACGAGGUCCUGGGUUCAAUCCCCAGUACCUCCA
Molecule: transfer RNA, 72 nt
Filed under: Vicugna pacos (alpaca)
Lineage: Eukaryota; Metazoa; Chordata; Mammalia; Artiodactyla; Camelidae
Description: tRNA-Ala (AGC) (tRNA-Ala-AGC-428-1)
Rfam family: tRNA
About the family: Transfer RNA (tRNA) molecules are approximately 80 nucleotides in length. Their secondary structure includes four short double-helical elements and three loops (D, anti-codon, and T loops). Further hydrogen bonds mediate the characteristic L-shaped molecular structure. tRNAs have two regions of fundamental functional importance: the anti-codon, which is responsible for specific mRNA codon recognition, and the 3' end, to which the tRNAs corresponding amino acid is attached (by aminoacyl-tRNA synthetases). tRNAs cope with the degeneracy of the genetic code in two manners: having more than one tRNA (with a specific anti-codon) for a particular amino acid; and 'wobble' base-pairing, i.e. permitting non-standard base-pairing at the 3rd anti-codon position.
Source: Rfam by way of RNAcentral